AUACGGAGGGUGCAAGCGUUACUCGGAAUCACUGGGCGUAAAGCGCGCGCAGGCGGUCUUUUAAGUUGGAUGUGAAAGCCUACGGCUCAACCGUAGAACUGCAUCCAAAACUAUUAGACUAGAGUGUGGGAGAGGAAGAUGGAAUUAGUUGCGUAGGGGUAAAAUCCGUAGAGAUAACUAGGAAUACCAAAAGCGAAGGCAAUCUUCUGGAACACUACUGACGCUGAGGCGCGAAAGCGUGGGGAGCAAACAGGAUUAGAAACCCUAGUAGUCC
Molecule: ribosomal RNA, 274 nt
Filed under: uncultured bacterium
Lineage: Bacteria
Description: partial 16S ribosomal RNA
Rfam family: Bacterial small subunit ribosomal RNA
Source: RNAcentral